Molecule: non-coding RNA, 71 nt
Organism: Phrynosoma platyrhinos (Desert horned lizard)
Lineage: Eukaryota; Metazoa; Chordata; Lepidosauria; Squamata; Phrynosomatidae
Source: the annotation of a GenBank genome assembly
GUGGCUGCGGUGUAAUGGUUCGAAUGUUGGACUAUGACUCUGGAGACCAGGGUUCGAAUCCCUCUGCCAUG